Molecule: ribosomal RNA, 468 nt
Filed under: uncultured bacterium
Lineage: Bacteria
Description: partial 16S ribosomal RNA
Rfam family: Bacterial small subunit ribosomal RNA
Source: RNAcentral
GACGAACGCUGGCGGCGUGCUUAACACAUGCAAGUCGAACGGAAAGGCCCUGCUUUUGUGGGGUGCUCGAGUGGCGAACGGGUGAGUAACACGUGAGUAACCUCCCCUUGACUUUGGGAUAACUUCAGGAAACUGGGGCUAAUACCGGAUAGGAGCUCCUGCUGCCUGGUGGGGGUUGGAAAGUUUCGGCGGUUGGGGAUGGACUCGCGGCUUAUCAGCUUGUUGGUGGGGUAGUGGCUUACCAAGGCUUUGACGGGUAGCCGGCCUGAGAGGGUGACCGGCCACAUUGGGACUGAGAUACGGCCCAGACUCCUACGGGAGGCAGCAGUGGGGAAUAUUGCACAAUGGGCGGAAGCCUGAUGCAGCAACGCCGCGUGCGGGAUGACGGCCUUCGGGUUGUAAACCGCUUUCGCCUGUGACGAAGCGUGAGUGACGGUAAUGGGUAAAGAAGCACCGGCUAACUACGUG